ACACUUGCAGGCAGAGGUAUAACAGGACCAACUUUCCCAGGAUGUCCUGAGACCUAUCAACAACAGUUUCAGCAAUCCGAGCAAGACCAACAAUUGGAAGGCCAAAGCCAAAGCCAUAAAUUUAGAGAUGAACAUCAAAAGAUCCACCGUUUUCAACAGGGGGAUGUAGUUGCAUUGCCUGCUGGUGUUGCUCAUUGGUGCUACAAUGAUGGUGAUGCACCAAUUGUUGCCAUAUAUGUCACUGAUAUAUACAAUAGUGCUAACCAACUUGAUCCUAGACACAGGGUAAUUCAUCGUAUAUUAUCUAUAGUCAUUACCCUAAGUAUUCCAAUCAUUUAUUUGAUUUAUUGGGCAACUCUCUUUUGACAUACUAAUUGUUUGUUUAUGGAUUGUUAGGAUUUCUUUUUAGCUGGCAACAAUAAGAUAGGUCAACAAUUGUAUAGAUAUGAGGCAAGGGACAAUUCGAAGAACGUCUUUGGUGGAUUUAGUGUUGAACUACUUAGCGAGGCUCUUGGCAUAAGCAGUGGAGUAGCAAGACAACUCCAGUGCCAAAAUGACCAAAGAGGAGAAAUAGUUCGUGUUGAGCAUGGGCUUUCCUUGCUCCAACCAUAUGCAUCGUUGCAAGAGCAACAACAAGAACAGGUGCAAUCGAGAGACUAUGGCCAAACACAAUAUCAACAAAAACAACUUCAAGGUAGUUGCUCUAAUGGUUUGGAUGAGACCUUUUGUACCAUGAGGGUAAGGCAAAAUAUCGACAACCCAAACCUCGCAGAUACAUACAACCCCAGAGCAGGAAGGAUCACAUAUCUAAAUGGCCAAAAGUUCCCCAUUCUUAAUCUUGUACAGAUGAGUGCCGUUAAAGUAAAUUUAUAUCAGGUAAAACCACAUGACAUUUUAUCCUCAUGAAAGAAAAUAUUUUGAAAAUUAUGCUGACAAUGUUCUCUCUAUUGCAGAACGCACUCCUUUCACCUUUUUGGAACAUCAACGCUCAUAGUGUCGUGUAUAUUACUCAAGGUCGUGCCCGAGUUCAAGUCGUCAACAACAAUGGAAAGACAGUGUUCGAUGGAGAGCUCCGUCGUGGGCAGCUUCUAAUUAUACCACAACACCAUGUAGUCAUUAAAAAGGCACAAAGGGAAGGAUGCUCAUAUAUUGCAUUGAAAACCAACCCUGACUCCAUGGUUAGCCACAUGGCAGGAAAGAAUUCCAUCUUCCGCGCACUUCCUGACGAUGUUGUAGCAAAUGCAUAUCGUAUCUCAAGAGAAGAAGCUAGGAGGCUCAAGCACAACAGGGGAGAUGAGUUAGGUGUGUUCACUCCUAGUCAUGCCUACAAGAGCUACCAAGACAUAUCUGUGAGUGCAUAACCAAGAAAUGUCAAUCAUAGGCUUGGAUUGCUAAGGAUGGUUUUCAAAUAAAUCAUAAGCAAUAAAAGAGUGCAUGUUGUUGCAGCUAUGUAAUAGUGGAUGGUUGGAAGAAUAAUAAUAAAUUUGUGUUCCUUUAAGUAACUAUAUUAAAUAUGAGAGAAAAAUUAAGAAAUGCCAUCAACAAGCAUCUAGAGUACACGUUUUGUCAUUGAUCACUAUGGUUUGGAUGUAUGACCACGUGCACGCAGACGUGACAUGAUCACAGACGACACCUUGGUGGUCGGCUCGACGCUACGCCACAGCACUGUCCAGCAAAGUUGCCGCCUCAACUGCGCCGGAUGGCAAGAAUCAUCAGAGCGACCAAGCGAGGUCAUGCAAUGGCACUGUGUGCACCCAUUCCUCUCGACCUACGCCGCACUCUCUCUCAAGUGCAUCUAGGAGCGAGGCAAACGGUGUUUAGCGAAUAGCGAGUCGAGGAGUUUAUUGGUGGGAUAGCACCAGGGCGGGCUGCGAUCGAUGGCGCGGAGCCGCGAGGACAAUGGAGUUUUGGAGAGUAGAUGAUUGGGACGGCAGGGGGCGUUCAUGCGCCGCGCAAGCGUGUGGCCGUUUGCCCGGGGAGAAUGGCUACACCCCUAAAGCACGAAUACCACUUGCAUGCCUCCAGUUAAACAAGCUUACGUAUUGACUUGCAUAUCUUCUUACAUUUUUAUUUUACAUUCAAUACCUACAGGGUUGAUUGCCUAUCCCUACAAGAGCUUGUUAAUCAACCAUCAGAAUUGGGCAGGAUUGAAUGAUUACUUGAAGAGGUUUAUGGAUGAAUGAGAUCACGCUGAGGUUUUCAUUCACUUCCAUUGGAGGAUGCCGAUUGAUCUACUGCUUUCCAAUAAUGUUUUUGAAGCUUGUACCUUUUUUGUCAAACUUUUACUCCAUAUGCAAGCAGUGAACACAUCAAGUCUCUGAUUAAUGAUAUUAAGAAUAGCUUCAGUUCUACUAGGUAACAUUACCUAUUGUGUCAUUGUCCAAUUGUUGCAUUAAUCGUAUCAAAUACCAUACCUUUGUUGCUUGAUGAAAUAUAUAGCUUCUCUAUAUCAUUUAAGAUCCAUUAUAAUGAUUAGAUGAUCUUCCUUUCUCCAACACAGUUGGCUUGAUCAUUUUUUUCAACCAUAAUUUGCAUAUGUCUCUUGUCACAUUGCUUAAAACUUCUUAAAGUAGCACUAUAACUAUCUCGCCUUCAUUUGCAGCCAAUAUCUCCUUUACGUACUAAACUGCUUAUUUGUGAACUUAUUGUGAUUUUUUUUGACCGGGGAACUUAUUGUGAUUUGGGAAGUGAUUGUUUGAAGUUUUUCUUUUCAGAUCUCUAGAGCACCCGAACAACAUGAUGAACUUGAUAAAAGAUUAUUGUGGGCUGAACUUUCCAAAACAAGUAGGGUAAGUGUGGAUCAUUUUUAGCAAGUCAUAACAUUGCUAAAUAUAAUAUCUGAUUAUUGUAAUCGUCUAGGCAUGAGAAUCAAGGACAUAGCAAAUUGUGGUCAAUUGUCUGAAAUUAGAUCGUCAAGAGAAGAAGGUCAAAUUCCAUUGCUUGCUUUGUGGAAAUGAAGGCUGGACUUACCCAAACACAAGAUAUCUACAACAUCACCUAACAAAUCAAUGUCCAAAGAUUACCGAUAGUGUACGUCAACGACUUGCUGCGUGGAAUGCUUCCAAAGUGAACCAAAAAUAGAAAUCCAAAAGACAAACACAGUGUUGGCCCUAAAACUAGGAUAAAAGAACAUAAGGUGUAUGAACUAAAGUAUUUUUCACAUAUUACAAGGCAAGACACCAUUUACAUAGGGGUAUAUGUCCUUUUAUAGGACUUUUAGGUCGGUUUCUACAUCAACCAACAUGCUACAAUACUCAAAACAGCUAAAUAUCACUAGCUAGUAGUCAAUUUCUAGUUCUCUUGUACAACUUCAACUUUACAACUAAGCAAUAACCCAACUAUAGCUAAUUCUCUAGAUGCAUCAUGUUCUUUACAACUCAUGGGACAAUCCAAUUUGAUUUCGUUAUCUCAAGAACACAAAUUAAUUCCAACACACAGUUGCUUGAUGACAAUACAACCGGUAUGUUAAAUUUGCACCCAUUUAGCGUAAUCUUGUCAAUUAGUUUUGGAUUGCAAUGGAUAUAUUUUCAUAUCAUAUAGGUACGAAUGAGUUGAAUGUUGUUAGUUCCCAACAUGGAGAACAAUUGAAUGCAAAAGAUCAAGAUGAACUGCAAAACAUCAAGGAGAAGGUAAGGUUUGCUUAUUAGCUAGUUAUACAUUGAUGGUUUUUUAUUUUUGUGUCUAUGUUUCCUACCGGUUAGGAGCUAGUUUACGGCCUGUUUUUUUUAAAAGGGAACACAAAAGCAUUCCAUUAUGAAGACAUACUGGCUGCAGCUAUUGAGUUUGUACAAACUCAGGGAAAUGGCUUGCAAUAACUUCUCUGUUCACCACUGAAUUUUGCUACAAGCCUUCUUUCUUUAAUGUACUGAAAGUUUUUGAAUUUCUCUUCCCAAUAUAAGCUGGUAGUCUAAAAUAUCUCCAUUUUAAUCCUUCAACUGAGAUGUGUAAAAUAUCCAUUACUUCACUUUGUUGCCACUAUUCUGUGUUAAUGUUGAAAAGGAUAGUUAAUUUAUCUUUAUUUAUCACUUGUCCAGAACAUGCUUCGUAUUUAUCUAGUACUAGAAUUUGGGUGUGCCAUUUGGUGCGCUGGCUAAGUAACUCGUGCAUAUUGUUUAGGUUAUUUGAAACCUACAAAUCCAAAUUUUUUUAUGGAUAUUAUUUUUAACCAUACACUCAAAAUGCCCCUUGACACAAUAUUUGAAUUAAGGAUUUUAAUUCAAAAUUUUAUUUGUAAUAACAAAAGGUACAAUUUUAAAUGUUUUACACCUGUUUUUUAAAACCAAUGCAUGUCUAGCUCUAGCAUCCUAGCUACUUCCCUUCACUGCCUUCCCAAACAUGACCAAAUUAAGUAUGUAUGCAAGAAUGGGAGCAUUUUAUAAAGGUUGAGCUUGAAUUGAGCCAUGGCAUGGUUGGGUCAUUGGAGUCAUGCAUGUCUGAUGUACUGAUAUCAAGAUCUCGAUAUGAUACUUGAGUUCCACUCUAUGCGAUCUGGGGAGGGUGCUUGGAAGUGCGUGCGGAGGCGAGGUUGGUGAAGGAUGGCAGAGGUGCAGUGAGAGCUAGUUAGCCGGCCCCGCUUAGGGGAGGGUGUGGUUCUGAGCUGCUAGGAUGUCGUGAUGACUGCAAUUGGCGGGCCUGAUCUGUGUGGAGAAACAAGGGGAAGCUGAUUGCGCUAGGAAGUUCUCUUUGAACUCCGCGAUCACCAGGUAUGGAAGCUGCUAGGGGAAAAGGAAGAGCUUGAACUCAGCAGUCUAAGCCAUGACUUCCGUCGCUUGAAUCUAGAACCGAAGGAAAUCGUGGUGGCGACCUUCUCCAGCUCACACAAUCUUUGGAUCUGCUUUCAUCAAUCCGGCGUUGUUAAACCGUCCAUCCAUUGUUUCUAUGUUCUAGUGGUCCUCUUCGACACGAGGAGGAGGAUCCAAAUGAUGAAAAUGAGAAGGGGCACCACCGAGUCGCCCACACCGGUCAUGACAGUGAGGAGCACCCAUGUUUUAGUUGGUAGGUUGAUUUUUCUAGAUAUUAUGUGUUUUUUAUCCUCUUUCCUGUUAGGUGUUGGUGAAUUUUAUCUCUUUUUUUCACCAAUGUGUCGAUAACCUGCACCUCUGCAAGUCUCGAUAGUUCUUUGUUUUUAUUUUCUGUUUUCUAGAUUUUUUUUGACACAUCCUUAACCAUAGCAGCCAUAGCUAGUAAUUGAAAAGAACAUAGCCAUAAUUUAAUAUCUUCUAGAUAUUUGGUAUAUGUAAACUUUCAGGUUAAUAUUCUUCGUAUUUGAAGUUCAGUGUUAAUAAUAUAUAACAUUUUAUAUGCAGUUAACAUCAACUAAGUUUUUAUUCUAUUGUAUCUACUUUUAUUGUAGUUAGGAUCAAGUUUGACAUGUUUUGCCCUAGAUACUGGGAACAUGCAAUCUUUAUUGAGUAUUCUUAAUAGUACAAAUUCUUUGUGAGUAACAUAUAAUCUAGCAACUGCUAAGGGAUGUAUAUUUGAUCUAAUGAUUGCUCAUAACAUUGGUGGGUCCGUGGAGAUGACCUGAUAUGCAAAAUGAUCAAGGAAUGCUUUGAUAGUAUUAAUCAAUCAACUGAACAAAUGAAUCGUAAGUAACUUGCGUUAUACUUUUCUGCUUCUACAAUGCAUUAUUUGACUGCUGUGGCUGUUUAAUUGUAACUUGAUUUGUGCUCAUAUGUAGUUCAUGCCCAAUGUGCAUAUUUGUAGUUGCAUUGUGCUAAUUUACAUAUGUGAUUUUGCUAGUACCUUCUCUGAUCGUUAUGUUAACUGCAAUUAAUGUUUCAAUUCUAUGUUUGUCGACCAAUAAACAACAAUAUCUCAAUGAUCUUAUUGCAAAGUACAGCUUGCCAAAAUGAGUUUUCAUCCUUGGAUUCUCUUGAUCAACAUCAUGCAGGAGCUUUAGCCACAGAGAUUGCUCCUCAUCAAUCUUCUAAUGAGCCUAGAGAAGUACCAACUGAAGUAGAGCAUAAUAUGCUUUCUAAUGUAGAAGCACCAGUUCUAGCCCAAGUUGUAGAAAAUAUCUUUCAAAAUGAAGAAAUAAUAGCAUCAACUGAAGAAACCACCACUACUUGACCUGCUGAGCAGGAUAGGGGUACAACAGAUUUAGGUCUUGAUAGUUUCUGGCCGUGAUUUUGCUAGCAAUGUUAAAGAAAUUGUGUGAUGUCAUAGCUAAUCCAUUGAUCCGCUGAGGAAAGAACUGUUCUAGCCAUGAUUCUGGCAGUAAUGUUAAAGAAAUUAUGUGGUGUGAUAGCUAGUCCAUCGGUCUAUGUUGACGGUCGUUACCGACAAAUUCCGACUGUCAAUAUAACUAAAAUAAUGGAGAACUAGCUAUGCUUACAAUGCAUCUUUAUUUCUAAAUAAUAUAUUUCCACUUGUACUUGGAGAAUAACAUGUUGCAGGAAUUUAUCAAAUAAAAUAAAGAGAAAAGUGAAGAAACCUCACUCCUAAGCAAGGAAAUGGAUAAGGAGGGCCCACAUGUCAGGUGUAACCGUCCGGAAACCGCCUUAACUGUCAAAACCGACAAUACGACCCACCUGUCAGCCACUAUACCGAAGGGGAGGUCGGUUGGAGCCAACCCUGGUUCGACCGAACCAGGGGCAAAUCGGCUCGCCCCCCCCUCCCCCCCUUACCAUGGACGUCCAGGAUGCGCUGUUGAUGGCUGUUACGAGGGUAAAAUGGACACUUUGCAUGGAGUAACCGUCAUACCGGGCCUAUAAAAGGAGCUCACUUCACUUCCAAAACACACUCAAGCAAGCUAAUUCCUCUUCAUAUUUUAGUAUUAGUAGUAUAUUGCUAAGUGGAGUAGUAUAGAAUAGUGUUUAGAAGUCCUCAAAGUCUUCGGAAGAGUUUUCGGUAUGGCUCUAGCCGCUCCUGUAAUCUCUUCUGUAAUACUUUCCGAAUUAAUGAAGUAUUCUUCUUUAUAUAUCUUCAGUACUUUACUUAGUUUGAGUACUAGUCUUACUUUAUAUCUGCUCUAUGUUAAUUGUGUGGGUAGCCUACCAGAGAGGUGUAAUGGUGCGGAUUUAAUGUCUGAAUUAUCAAUCACUCUAUGUCGGGCAUGCGGGUAUAGAGUAGUAUUUAAUAAUGUAAGCGUGGUGCUUAGAUUAUUAAGUAUCAUUAAUUGGGCAUAUAUACUACGAGACAGUAGAGGUGAGCCGCUAAUGGUGACAGCUCAGUACGGAUAUUCCUCCAUGUUAGUAUAUAUAGGGGUGGGCAUUCGGUCAGACCAAAAAAUUCGGUCUCGGUCUUCGGUUUUUCGGUUAGUUCGGUCUUUGCAAACUUAGGACCGAAUUUCAUCCAAAAAAACUCAAGACCGGCAAAUUCGGUCUCGGUCUUUUCGGUCUCGGUCUCGGUCUGACCGAAAUUUUUGAGGAUAAAGUUUGGAACGAAAAAAUUUGACAGAGGCGUCGCCGGCGCGGUGAAGGGCGGAGGCGUCGACUGCGGCGCGGUGGAGGACGGCGUCGGCCGCUGCACGAUGGAGGACGGCGGCGUCAGCCGCGGCGCGGUAGAGGACGGCGGUGGCGGCCGCGCGGUGGAGGACGGCGUCGGCCGCGGCGCGGUGGAGGACGGCGUCGUCGGCCGCGGCAUGGUGGAGGACGGCGGCGGCGGCCGCGCGGUGGAGGCAGAGGCGGCGGCCGCGGCACGGUGUAGGGUGGAGGCGGGCCGCAGCGCGGUGGAGGGUGGAAGCGGCGGCCGCGCGGGAGAGGGCGGAGGCGACGGACGCGCGGUGGAGGGCGGAGCCGGCGGCGGCGACGCGGUGGAGGCUAGAGGAGGCGGCGGCACGGUGGGGGCGGAGCCGGCGGUGGGGGCUGGAGGAGGCGGCGCGGAGGGGUUAGAGGAGGAGGCGGCGCUGUGCGGCAGUGAUGGUAGGGUUUGUUUUAGGGUUUCUUUUAGUGGGCUUAUUGGGCUUCCUAGGCCUAUUGGGCCAAAAUUUCGGUCAUUUCGGUUAAUUCGGUUAACCGAGCCCAAUAACCGAAAUGACCGAAAUAAAUUCGAUCUUCUGAGGGCUGAGACCGAACAGGUAACCGAAUUUCUCGGUAUUGGUCUUUUCGGUCUCGGUCUCGGUCUUUUCGGUUCGGUCUAAAUAUGCCCACCCCUAAGUAUAUAUAUUCCUAAUCAAAUUCUUGGGGAGGGUACUCCGUAUUUAGCCCCGGUUGGACGGCAAUGACAGGUUGUCGUAAGAAACUCAGCAACCCGGGGUGGUCUCUCGAAGUACCAGGAGGACACUGUUAGGGGGUAUUGGCCACACGAUUGUACAUUAGCAGAUGUAAGUUAGGAUUUGAGUGUAUACUAGAAGUAUAGGAAUUGAGUGCUUUCUAUUUCUCUUCCACUUAGUUAUAAUUAUUUUGUUAUGAGGAUUGAAUAGCUUUGCUUCGUGUCACUCUACCCUUAUAUUAUAUUUAACCCCUAUUUAGGCUCUAACAAUUAUAAGUAAUAUAUGUAUAAAGUGCAUUAGUAAAGUUCACUCUUAUUAUCUUCCCUUGGGAUUAAAAAUACGAUACAUUCGAAUACUUCCAAGUGAAAUGCUACAAUGGUAUAUAUGUGCGCUUGCGGAUUAAUUCUAUAACCAUAAAUAAUAGGAUCAUUUCUGGCGCCAUUGCUAGAAUGCAUAUUUCUAGUAAUGUCGUUGAGAAAUACCACCAGUCUGACAAGAAAAAAUAAACUUGUGUUACUGUUACACUAUCAUAAAAGGAAACUGAUUAACAAUUAAGAACAAUUAAGCUCUUAGCGUUCCAUGCAUCCUAUGCAACUAUACAAGUAAUGCUUAUUUUUCAGUCACAAGGUGAUCCACCAUUUGGUUUUGUGUUUCUUGAUUUUGUCUGUCUUUCUUGGCUCCUUGCUUCUAAUCUGUGUCAUUCAUCCUUGCCGGGUGAAUCCAGCCUAUCACACUCAACCAACCCAACCCAUCUGAUUUGUUCCCAUCCGACGAUGCAUGCGACCCAUGCAACACUAUGUAACAAUUCACGCUGCAUAUUAUUGAUCCCUUUCAAUGUUGCACGCAUGUGAAUCCUCCGGCUCCCACUAAAUUCAUUUGUUUGAUUACCUCCCACUUUGCCAGAAAUUGUUGGUUCCCUCAUAAUUUCAUCCUGCACUCUGCAGAAACUCCUCCUAAAUAGUCCUACCGAUUACUGAACUGCCAUUAUAUCCAGCUUCCGAUUAGAUUAAAUGGCGAUUUGGGCACUAUAAAACAUUGCAAUCCUCUCUUCAAGUCCCUCCAACUCCACAAUUCCUUGCACAAAGUUAUGGUCAUGAGAUGCGAUUUGGGCACUAUAAACCACUGCAAUCCUCUCUUCAAGUCCCUCCAUUAACUCCAUAAUUCCUUGCACAAAGUGAUGGUGUUAACAACAAAAUUUGGCAAGCCCGAAGUCAUCAUCGGCCUAGAGUCAGUAUCGGCUUCAGAGUCUUGGAAUCGGCCGAUGGGAGUCAUCAAAUCGCCUGCAGUUGUGUUCUUGGUGGAGUCAGAUCAAUUAAAGGAAAUUUAUCCAGAAGAGUCCGAGUUCAAGGAGGAUGCGACAUGGCAAGUUAUCUAUUAAUUAGGAAUAGUUUGUUAGUUUCCUUUUAUCUUUAGGAAAGUGUGUUUAGUGUCCAACAAGGACUUUAUGUUUUUCUUUUAUCUUUAGAAAAGUUUAUUUCUUGUCCGACAAGGACUAUUAUCUCCCCAUGGGUAUAAAUAUGUACACCUAGGGUCAUUGUAAAAUAUCUCUCGAUCAAUCCAACUACUCUCGGUGUAUCGCCCUCUAUUCUGAGGUUUUACUUAUCAACCGGCGGAAUUUGUCACCUGACGCGGGGCUGCAUCGGUUCAGUUCGAUCUCCGGUGAAGGGGUAAGUCCUACGUUCUACCAGCCCUGGUGAAUCUAUCGGUUACGUUGGUGUUGUUUAAGGUUGCAUCGCUUCGAUCUCUUGGAUCGCUCUGGUUUGGUUGAUACAUUUGCUUACCAAAUAUCUCAAUUCUAUCUCUAGUUGCAUUGUGUUUAGAGACGCAUCAGUUUAGUUGGGAUUGUCUCGGUUAGGUCCGACCUUCUGCCUUAGCCGAUAUAUCUCUACAAUCACAAUGCUGUUAUAAAUAGAUUUGUUAUAUCCAUCACAUUAGAUAGAUCUAUCAGCUCAUCGAGUAUUAGAUUAUCAUAUACAAUCUCGUGCUGCAACGGUUAGGUUCGACCUACUAUAUUGUUGUUGAUAAUAUAAGUCUUGUUAAGCCGAUAGGUUCAUGCUAAUGUUUUCUUGGGGUGCUAGCCGAUAAGUUAUCUAGACGUUGCAUCGGCUUAUAAGGAUAGCAUAUACAUAUAAGUUGGAUUUAGCCGAUGACAACAGAGGUUUCAUUGGUCUAUCUAAUCUUGUGGAUUUUAUGACAUCGGACCUCCAACUGAUGUAUGCUUUAACCUUCGGAUCAGUGCUUAUUCUAUCAUAUCAUUGCUAGCCAAUUGGUUUCUACUGGAUUAUAUUAUUGUUAUACUAUACUAUCAUCAGCCGAUUGCUUAAAUCCUAUCGCUAUCGGCUGGUAUCGGCAUCGGCUAUUGGCUGGAAUUACCUCAUCGGCUUGUUAGACGAUCGGCUAUUUGAUCUACUAUUUACAUAUCUUGUCAGUUGCAGGAUCAAGACUAGCACGCCCGCAUCUCACCAAACUUUGGACCUGCACUAGAGCUAAGCAGAUCUCCCAGGCCAGUGUGUGUUUUUCGCAUCAACAGAUGGUCACGAGAUGCCCGAUCUUCCAUCAAGUGAAGAUAACUAUCAAUUUGGUGAAAACUUGACACACACGAUUUGGCUUCCGAUCAACACGAUCUAAACCCUGAAAUCGCAGCACCACGUCUCCGAAAUCCCGAUUGACCUCACUGAGAAGGAUAAUCCCUGUGUGUGAAUCGAAGAACACAAGCAAGAAAAGGAAAGAUAGUAACUCAAUUGCAUGAAUGAUUAAUCAACAACUCGAAGUUGGGGUUAUACAAACUAAACUAGGGUCGGUUUUUGCUUGUCCUUUUACUGCCUUGGCCGAUUCAUACCUUAAAUCAAACCUAGGCAAAGCAAAAAUCCAUUUCCCAACCCUUCCCUUUAGAACAUGAGCCGAUAGCCAGUAGACCCUUUUUUCGCUCUUGAAAUGGAUGAUCUUGUCAAAAGGCUUCUAGUUGAUAAAGCCCUUGGCCUAGAUGGUUUUAAUGGUUGUUUUAUAAAAAAUUGCUGGCCAAUUAUAGCCUAAUAUUUUUACAGAUUGGCUGCUCAUUUCCACGCUAAGUUGGUAGAACUUCAGUGCAUCAAUUCUUCUUAUAUUACUCUUAUGCCAAAGAAGGUUAACCCAGAACAUGUUAAUGAUUUUAGGCCAAUUUCUCUUAUGAGUAUCAGCCUAAAAUUUUUGACUAUGUUAAUGGCUGAUAGGCUUCAAGGAGUAAUUAAGAAAAUUGUGCAUGAAAAUCAAUAUGGUUUUAUUAAAGGGAGGACAAUUCAAGACAGCUUAG
This 11444-nucleotide long non-coding RNA is filed under the name Oryza sativa (Asian cultivated rice). Its description in RNAcentral is "long non-coding RNA (OSAT_LNC000571)". Lineage: Eukaryota; Viridiplantae; Streptophyta; Magnoliopsida; Poales; Poaceae. The record is from RNAcentral.